AUUGAACGCUGGCGGCAGGCCUAACACAUGCAAGUCGAGCGGAUGAAGGGAGCUUGCUCCUGGAUUCAGCGGCGGACGGGUGAGUAAUGCCUAGGAAUCUGCCUGGUAGUGGGGGAUAACGUCCGGAAACGGGCGCUAAUACCGCAUACGUCCUGAGGGAGAAGGUGGGGGAUCUUCGGACCUCACGCUAUCAGAUGAGCCUAGGUCGGAUUAGCUAGUUGGUGGGGUAAAGGCCUACCAAGGCGACGAUCCGUAACUGGUCUGAGAGGAUGAUCAGUCACACUGGAACUGAGACACGGUCCAGACUCCUACGGGAGGCAGCAGUGGGGAAUAUUGGACAAAGGGCGAAAGCCUGAUCCAGCCAUGCCGCGUGUGUGAAGAAGGUCUUCGGAUUGUAAAGCACUUUAAGUUGGGAGGAAGGGCAGUAAGUUAAUACCUUGCUGUUUUGACGUUACCAACAGAAUAAGCACCGGCUAACUUCGUG
Molecule: ribosomal RNA, 484 nt
Filed under: uncultured bacterium
Lineage: Bacteria
Description: partial 16S ribosomal RNA
Rfam family: Bacterial small subunit ribosomal RNA
Source: RNAcentral